UUCCAAUUGGUAGUAUUCAAGAUAACAAGAAAUCCAAUAUUGUUGUUUCUUGUGAAGUGUAGUUCACUUUAUUCCCUUCCUGUUAGAGCUGCUACUUGAGAUCCAGAGCCUAAACAACUUGUGACCAUAGACUGCUGAGAGUUAUCAUAUUUGAUCUUCAAGUGCAAUCCUUCAGUUGUUCUAUUGCAUCUCCGAGCCAUAUUAGCAUACAUUUCCAAUCAACAAUUGACUACUGGGUCAGUUAUUACUAUCUCUGAGAAAUUCUUUCUUAAUUUGUCCUAUAAACAAUUAAAUUCAUUAUUGGCCAUGAAGUUCACUGCAAAUUUGCUGCGCAGUUUUUAUUUCAGAGAUACAUGUGAAUAUUUUUUUGUUUAUUACUUUUGCCGAAUAUGAAUAGUUCAUUUGAGAUCCCUCUAACAAAACACGAUAAGAAAGGGGAAGAAUUAACCUACAGGGAGGCAUGAUCGAGGUCGUUGCUCAUGCAUGUUUGAUGGCAUUGUUUCAGGCGCCCACCGACUGUGUGUAUGCCUGUUACCUACGGCGUCGUUGUUUCUUCCCUCGGUCGAGCGUGGUCCACCAGCCACUACCUGUAGGCAAUAGCAUUAGGCCGGCAACUAUCGCGGAUCAAGGGUACAAAUCAACCAGACUAGGAGAGGGGGUGGUGGUCUACGUAGUGGCAGGGAGAGGAAGCGAUGGCUGACACCAAGGCUGGGAGAGGAGCCGGCAGAUGACUCUAUGGCGGGACAAGAGGAGCAGUGGCAGGGAGAGAAAGCGGGACUAUGCCAUGUGAGUUGCUGAAGUUGUGCCUUGUGAGGUGGGGAUAAGGGAUGUGUGUUGUGCAUGUGUAGUGAGAGGCGUGGAGUAGCUUUUCCUUUUUGAGGGAGGCUGUUUAUUUGUCUAGAACAGAUUAGCUUCUUUUCCUUUCUCCCUUGUGAACUGAGAGGAGUGGUUAUUAUGCCACGAGAGAAGUGUCAGAUAUUCUAGAAAUAGCAAAAAAUGUUCUAAAGAUAAUAGCCAAACAAGUGAUCUAGAGAAUGUCCUAUGUUGCUACAAAGCAGGAUGUGACUCACUCCACACAUGCAUACCAUGUAUAUAUUUUGGACUCACUCUACAUCACAUUUGGUAGAGAAUAAAGCUAUGAGAUAUCGAAAUUACUGAGAUUUUCAAGGGACUUCAAUAACGCACUUGAAAUAGCAUUUCACAACCUAUAUUCUCUGUCGGCUGAUAUUCCAAUGAGCACAGACAAGUAUAUUUAUCUAUUUUAUUUUCAUAAUCAAGAUACAUGCAAUUAUUUUAUCAUCAUUAUAUUUAUAUUCUAGAUAAUAAUAAUUUAUUCGUUACAAGAGUGUGUUGGGUUAUUUUGUACUGCCGUCGUUUCUAAAUAUAAG
Molecule: long non-coding RNA, 1388 nt
Filed under: Triticum aestivum (bread wheat)
Lineage: Eukaryota; Viridiplantae; Streptophyta; Magnoliopsida; Poales; Poaceae
Description: long non-coding RNA (TAES_LNC001110)
Source: RNAcentral